CUAUUGUAAAAUGCCCGCUUGCCUUAUAUUUUUAAGUGGUUGUUUUUCAAAAGUGUUUACAUAAGGCAGUCAUAUUUCAGAGUAUAGAGCAAAAGUUUUUUUAUUAUUAUUUUUGAGACAGGGUCUCCCUCUGUCACCCAGGCUAGAGUUGCAGUGAGCCGAGAUCAAGCCACUGCACUCCGGCCUGGGAGACAGAGUGAGACUCCGUCUCUAAAUAAAUAAACAAAUAAAAAUGUAUUCUCUAAGGGCAUUUUUUUUUUUUGGUUACUGGUUCCUAGAGAUGAAAUGAUUAUCUUAUUUUCAGUAGGCAAGGUAGUUUAAAUGCAGAAAUUCUGUGAUAUAUGAAUAUUGUGACAUCAAGAACAGCUUCAUUGGCAUAUUCUUUGUGAAAGAGGCAAGAAGAAUAAAAGGGCUAAAAGUAUUUUAUUUUCAGCUUAUGAGUGUUGUUACUGCUUCAAAUUGUGUUUAGUCACCUGAGCCAUAAAUCAGUUGUAGUAGGGCUAUUGUAUUUUAAAUAUAUUUUUUGUUCUCCAAGGAGACUUACCUAGUUUGCCACCUCCUUGCCUAUUGCUCUGAUACGGUUUUCCCUCCUUUUUUAUUUAUUGCACAAAUAUCUAACAGUUAAAGAAAAAGAAAAAUUUCAGUACCAUAUCAAUUGUCUUUCAUAUUUUGUGCUCCUCCUUUCCAGUGCUUUUCUAUGUAAGUAAAUAUUCUGAUGUACUUGCAAGUAAUCACUCAGAGCAUAAUGUAAUUUUGUCUUUGGUGUCUUAAAAUUUUGCAGCCAGGCAAGAGAGGUUCACAGGGAAGGUAGGAAC
RNAcentral lists this small RNA (815 nucleotides) under Pongo abelii (Sumatran orangutan). RNAcentral describes it as "processed transcript". Lineage: Eukaryota; Metazoa; Chordata; Mammalia; Primates; Hominidae. The record is from RNAcentral.